CCGUGGCGCAGCAUGGAUAGAAAUAGCUAACCCACAAAGCGCGUCGGCCUUCUAAGCCGGAGAUCCCGGGUUCAAAUCCCGGCGG
RNAcentral lists this transfer RNA (85 nucleotides) under Candidatus Bathyarchaeota archaeon. Its description in RNAcentral is "tRNA-Arg". It matches the Rfam family "tRNA", at positions 5 to 66 of the family's 71-position model. From Rfam's summary of the family: Transfer RNA (tRNA) molecules are approximately 80 nucleotides in length. The record is from RNAcentral. Lineage: Archaea; Thermoproteati; Candidatus Bathyarchaeota.